RNAcentral lists this ribosomal RNA (484 nucleotides) under uncultured bacterium. RNAcentral's name for it is "partial 16S ribosomal RNA". It matches the Rfam family "Bacterial small subunit ribosomal RNA", at positions 30 to 507 of the family's 1533-position model. The record is from RNAcentral.
AUUGAACGCUGGCGGCAGGCCUAACACAUGCAAGUCGAGCGGAUGAAGGGAGCUUGCUCCUGGAUUCAGCGGCGGACGGGUGAGUAAUGCCUAGGAAUCUGCCUGGUAGUGGGGGAUAACGUCCGGAAACGGGCGCUAAUACCGCAUACGUCCUGAGGUAGAAAGUGGGGGAUCUUCGGACCUCACGCUAUCAGAUGAGCCUAGGUCGGAUUAGCUAGUUGGUGAGGUAAAGGCCUACCAAGGCGACGAUCCGUAACUGGUCUGAGAGGAUGAUCAGUCACACUGGAACUGAGACACGGUCCAGACUCCUACGGGAGGCAGCAGUGGGGAAUAUUGGACAAUGGGCGAAAGCCUGAUCCAGCCAUGCCGCGUGUGUGAAGAAGGUCUUCGGAUUGUAAAGCACUUUAAGUUGGGAGGAAGGACAGUAAGUUAAUACCUUGCUGUUUUGACGUUACCAACAGAAUAAGCACCGGCUAACUUCGUG